Molecule: ribosomal RNA, 1432 nt
Filed under: metagenome
Description: bacterial SSU rRNA
Rfam family: Archaeal small subunit ribosomal RNA
Source: RNAcentral
UUGAUCCUGCGGAAGAUUGCUGCUAUUAGAAUCCGGCUAAGGCAUGCAAGUCAGAGGGCUUUUCGGAGCCCAGGCAAACUGCUCAGUAACACGUCAAUAACCUAACCUUAAGUCUAGGAUAACCUCGGAAAACUGAGGGUAAAACUGGAUAGAUGAGGAAAUUUGGAAUAAUUCUUCAUCCAAAAGCAAUGCUUAAGGAUGAGUUGGCGGCUGAUUAGGUUGUUGGUGAGGUAACGGCUCACCAAGCCGACGAUCAGUAGGGGCCCUGAGAGGGGUUGCCCCGAGAAGGACACUGAGACACUGGUCCUAGCCCUACGGGGUGCAGCGGCUGCGUAAACUCUACAAUGCGUGAAAACGUGAUAGGGGGAUUCUAAGUGCUUAUGCCUUUGGUAUAAGCUUUUGUCAUAUGUAAAAAGUAUGAUGAAUAAGUGGUGGGUAAGACGGGUGCCAGCCGCCGCGGUAACACCUGCGCCACAAGUGGCAAUCAUGUCUAUUGGGCCUAAAGCGUUCGUAGCCGGUUUAGUAAGUUCUAAGUGAAAUUAUUCUGCUCAACAGAAUAGCGUGCUCGGAAUACUGCUAAACUAGGGACCGGGAGACGUUAGAGGUAUGGAAAGGGAAGCGGUAAAAUGUGAUAAUCCUUUCUAGACCACCGAUGGCGAAGGCAUCUAACGAGAACGGGUCCGACGGUGAGGGACGAAAGCCAGGGGAGCAAAAGGGAUUAGAUACCCCUGUAGUCCUGGCUGUAAACGCUGUGAGCUAGGUGUUGUAUAUUCCACGCGAAUAUGCAGCGCCGUAGAGAAGUCGUUAAGCUCACCGCCUGGGUAGUACGGUCGCAAGGCUGAAACUUAAAGGAAUUGGCGGGGGAGCACCACAAGGGGUGCGGCGUGCGGUUUAAUUUAACUCAACGCAGAGAAUCUCACCAGGGGCGACGGCAGGAUGAUAGUCAACCUAAAGGGUUUACUGGACGAGCCGAGAGGUGGUGCAUGGCUGUCGUCAGCUCGUACCGUGAGGUGUCCAGUUAAGUCUGGCAACGAGCGAGACCCACACCUUUAAUUGUCAGCGAGUUCUUUAGAAUGAUCGGACACAUUAGAGGAACUGCCUUGGAAACAAGGAGGAAGGUGUGGGCGACGGUAAGUCUGUACGCCCCGAACCUCCUGGGCUACACGCGCGCAACAAUGGUAGGAACAAUGGGAUGCGACACCGAAAGGUGAAGCUAAUCCUCGAAAUCCUAUCUUAGUCUAGAUCGAGUUUUGUAACUCAGACUCGUGACACCGGAAUCCCUAGUAAUCGGAAGUUAUCAUCUUCCGGUGAAUGUGUCCCUGCUCCUUGCACACACCGCCCGUCAUUCCAACCGAGCAGAGUUAAAGUGAGGCUAUGUUUUUAAUGUAUUCGAACUUUAGCUCAGUGAGGCGGGACAAGUCGUCACAAGGUA